GUGAAUCAUCGAAUCUUUGAACGCAAAUUGCGCCUUUUUCGGAGGGCAUGUCUGUUUGAGGGCACCAUUUAACAAAUACUGUGCAUUUUUGUGUGCACACGUUGAUGAGCUUUCCACACUUAUGUAUUAUUUUUGGUGGCUCAUAAUAAACAGCGCGAUGCUUUUUUUCAGUUCGAGUGUAUUAAAAUUUUUUCUUUCUUUGGUUGUGAAAAAGCGUUAUCCCGCAAUUGGUGUGUCCAUUUUA
This 244-nucleotide unclassified non-coding RNA is filed under the name Paraglomerales sp. Its description in RNAcentral is "partial contains 5.8S ribosomal RNA and internal transcribed spacer 2". The stretch from base 1 to 65 matches the Rfam family "5.8S ribosomal RNA", at positions 84 to 154 of the family's 154-position model. The record is from RNAcentral. Lineage: Eukaryota; Fungi; Glomeromycota; Glomeromycetes; Paraglomerales.